RNAcentral lists this ribosomal RNA (781 nucleotides) under Prochlorococcus sp. AG-676-L21. Its description in RNAcentral is "bacterial SSU rRNA". It matches the Rfam family "Bacterial small subunit ribosomal RNA", at positions 740 to 1520 of the family's 1533-position model. The record is from RNAcentral. Lineage: Bacteria; Bacillati; Cyanobacteriota; Cyanophyceae; Synechococcales; Prochlorococcaceae.
CUGACGCUCAUGGACGAAAGCCAGGGGAGCGAAAGGGAUUAGAUACCCCUGUAGUCCUGGCCGUAAACGAUGAACACUAGGUGUCGGGGGAAUCGACCCCCUCGGUGUCGUAGCUAACGCGUUAAGUGUUCCGCCUGGGGAGUACGCACGCAAGUGUGAAACUCAAAGGAAUUGACGGGGGCCCGCACAAGCGGUGGAGUAUGUGGUUUAAUUCGAUGCAACGCGAAGAACCUUACCAGGGUUUGACAUCCUGAGAACCUCUUAGAAAUUUGAGGGUGCCUUCGGGAAUUCAGUGACAGGUGGUGCAUGGCUGUCGUCAGCUCGUGUCGUGAGAUGUUGGGUUAAGUCCCGCAACGAGCGCAACCCACGUUUUUAGUUGCCAGCAUUUAGUUGGGCACUCUAGAAAGACCGCCGGUGAUAAACCGGAGGAAGGUGUGGAUGACGUCAAGUCAUCAUGCCCCUUACACCCUGGGCUACACACGUACUACAAUGCUACGGACAAAGGGCAGCAAACUCGCGAGAGCUAGCAAAUCCCAUAAACCGUGGCUCAGUUCAGAUCGUAGGCUGCAACUCGCCUACGUGAAGUAGGAAUCGCUAGUAAUCGCAGGUCAGCAUACUGCGGUGAAUACGUUCCCGGGCCUUGUACACACCGCCCGUCACACCAUGGAAGUUGGCCAUGCCCGAAGUCGUUACUCCAACCCUUGUGGAGGAGGACGCCGAAGGUGGGGCUAAUGACUGGGGUGAAGUCGUAACAAGGUAGCCGUACCGGAAGGUGCGGCUG